UACGUAGGGGGCUAGCGUUGUCCGGAAUCAUUGGGCGUAAAGAGCGUGUAGGCGGCCCGGUAAGUCCGCUGUGAAAGUCGGGGGCUCAACCCUCGAAUGCCGGUGGAUACUGUCGGGCUAGAGUGCGGAAGAGGCGAGUGGAAUUCCUGGUGUAGCGGUGAAAUGCGCAGAUAUCAGGAGGAACACCGAUUGCGAAGGCAGCUCGCUGGGACGUAACUGACGCUGAGACGCGAAAGCGUGGGGAGCGAACAGG
Molecule: ribosomal RNA, 253 nt
Filed under: uncultured bacterium
Lineage: Bacteria
Description: partial 16S ribosomal RNA
Rfam family: Bacterial small subunit ribosomal RNA
Source: RNAcentral